UACGUAGGGAGCAAGCGUUGUCCGGAAUCAUUGGGCGUAAAGCGCGCGUAGGCGGCCCGGUAAGUCCGUUGUGAAAGUCAAAGGCUCAACCUUUGAAUGCCGAUGGAUACUGCCGGGCUAGAGUCCGGAAGAGGCGAGUGGAAUUCCUGGUGUAGCGGUGGAAUGCGCAGAUAUCAGGAGGAACACCAAUAGCGAAGGCAGCUCGCUGGGACGGUACUGACGCUAAGGCGCGAAAGCGUGGGGAGCGAACAGGAUUAGAUACCCCCGUAGUCC
RNAcentral lists this ribosomal RNA (273 nucleotides) under uncultured bacterium. RNAcentral describes it as "partial 16S ribosomal RNA". It matches the Rfam family "Bacterial small subunit ribosomal RNA", at positions 524 to 796 of the family's 1533-position model. The record is from RNAcentral.